CUGCCAACCUGGCCGCCUCCGACGUCCUCUUCACUCUGGCCCUGCCUCUGCGGAUAGCCUACUACGCCCUAGGUCAGUGAUACUCCCACUACUACGCCCUAGGUCAGUGAUACUCCCACUACUACGCCCUAGGUCAGUGAUACUCCCACUACUACGCCCUAGGUCAGUGAUACUCCCACUACUACACCCUAGGUCAGUGAUACUCCCACUACUACGCCCUAGGUCAGUGAUACUCCACCAAUACAACGCCCUAGGUCAGUGAUACUCCCACUACUACGCCCUAGGUCAGUGAUACUCCCACUACUACGCCCUAGGUCAGUGAUACUCCACCAAUACAACGCCCUAGGUCAGUGAUACUCCCACUACUACGCCCUAGGUCAGUGAUACUCCCACUACUACACCCUAGGUCAGUGAUACUCCCACUACUACGCCCUAGGUCAGUGAUACUCCACCAAUACAACGCCCUAGGUCAGUGAUACUCCCACUACUACGCCCUAGGUCAGUGAUACUCCCACUACUACACCCUAGGUCAGUGAUACUCCCACUACUACGCCCUAGGUCAGUGAUACUCCACCACUACUACGCCCUAGGUCAGUGAUACUCCCACUACUACGCCCUAGGUCAGUGAUACUCCACCAAUACAACGCCCUAGGUCAGUGAUACUCCACCAAUACUACGCCCUAGGUCAGUGAUACUCCACCACUACUCCACCCUAGGUCAGUGAUACUCCCACUACUACACCCUAGGUCAGUGAUACUCCCACUACUAUGCCCUAGGUCAGUGAUACUCCACCACUACUACGCCCUAGGUCAGUGAUACUCCCACUACUACGCCCUAGGUCAGUGAUACUCCACCAAUACAACGCCCUAGGUCAGUGAUACUCCCACUACUACGCCCUAGAUCAGUGAUACUCCCACUACUACGCCCUAGGUCAGUGAUACUCCCACUACUACGCCCUAGGUCAGUGAUACUCCACCAUUACUACGCCCUAGGUCAGUGAUACUCCCACUACUACGUCCUAUAGGUCAGUGAUACUCCCACUACAUCACCCUAGGUCGGUGAUACUCCACUACGUCCUAUAGGUCAGUGAUACUCCACCACGACGCCCUAGGUCAGUGAUACUCCCACUACUACGCCCUAGGUCAGUGAUACUCCACCACUACUACGCCCUAUGUCAGUGAUACUCCACCACUACUACGCCCUAGGUCAGUGAUACUCCCACUACUACGCCCUAGGUCAGUGAUACUCCCACUACUACGCCCUAGGUCAGUGAUACUCCACUACGUCCUAUAGGUCGGUGAUACUCCACUACGUCCUAUAGGUCGGUGAUACUCCACUACGUCCUAUAGGUCGGUGAUACUCCCACUACUACGCCCUAGGUCAGUGAUACUCCCACUACUACGCCCUAGGUCAGUGAUACUCCACUACGUCCUAUAGGUCGGUGAUACUCCCACUACGACGCCCUAGGUCAGUGAUACUCCCACUACGACGCCCUAGGUCAGUGAUACUCCACUACGUCCUAUAGGUCGGUGAUACUCCACUACGUCCUAUAGGUCGGUGAUACUCCACUACGUCCUAUAGGUCGGUGAUACUCCCACUACGUCCUAUAGGUCGGUGAUACUCCACUACGUCCUAUAGGUCGGUGAUACUCCACUACGUCCUAUAGGUCGGUGAUACUCCACUACGUCCUAUAGGUCGGUGAUACUCCACUACGUCCUAUAGGUCGGUGAUACUCCACUACGUCCUAUAGGUCGGUGAUACUCCACUACGUCCUAUAGGUCGGUGAUACUCCACUACGUCCUAUAGGUCGGUGAUACUCCACUACGUCCUAUAGGUCGGUGAUACUCCCACUACGUCCUAUAGGUCGGUGAUACUCCACUACGUCCUAUAGGUCGGUGAUACUCCCACUACGUCCUAUAGGUCGGUGAUACUCCCACUACGUCCUAUAGGUCGGUGAUACUCCCACUACGUCCUAUAGGUCGGUGAUACUCCACUACGUCCUAUAGGUCGGUGAUACUCCACUACGUCCUAUAGGUCGGUGAUACUCCACUACGUCCUAUAGGUCGGUGAUACUCCACUACGUCCUAUAGGUCGGUGAUACUCCACUACGUCCUAUAGGUCGGUGAGUAUAGUUGUUUUGAAGUAGUUUAAAACAAACAACUAAAAGCAGAUGGUAGGAAUGUAGAAAUGAUACUGGGCCUUCAGAAAGGGUUCACGCCCCUCCACUUCUUCCACAUGUUGUUGUUAAAACACACACAAUAACCCAUAAUGACAAAGUGAAAACAUGUGUUGACAUUUUUGCAAAUGAACUCUUAGAAAUAUCAAAUUUGCAUUAGUAUUCAAACCCCUGAGUCAAUACUUUGUAGAAUCACCUUUGGCAGUGAUGACAGCUGUGAGUCUUUCUGGGUAAGUCUCUAAGAGCUUUGCACACCUGGAUUGUACAAUAUUUGCAUAUUAUUAUUUUUUAUAUAUAUAUAUAUUUUUUUAACUGUCAAAUUGACUGACCAUUGAUAGACAGCCAUUUUCAAGUCUUGCCAUAUAUUUUCAAGACUAUUUAAGUUCAGUUAAAACUAUGCCACUCAGGAACAAUCAAUGUAUUCUUGGUAAGCAACCCCAGUGUAUAUUUGGCCUUGUGUUUUAGGUUAUUGUCCUGCUGAAAGGUGAAUUUGUCUCCCAGUGUCUGUUGGAAAGUAGACUGAACCAGGUUUUAGGACUUUGCAUGUGCUUAUAGCUGUAUUCUGUUUCUUUUUAAAAUCCCUUGUCAUUGUCGCUGACAAGCACACUCAUAACAUGAUGCAGCAACCACCAUGCUUGAAAAUAUGAAGAGUGGUACUCCGUGAUGUGUUGGAUUUGCCCUAAACGUAACACUUUGUAUUCAGGAAAGAAAGUUAGAUUUUUUUUUUGCAGUAUUACUUAAGUGCCUUGUUGCAAACAGGAUGCAUGUUUUGUAAUACGGGCUUCCUUUUCACUCUGUAAUUUAAAUUAGUAUUGUGGAGUAACUACAAAUGUUGUUGAUCCAUCCUUAGUUCUCAUAUCACACCCAUUAUACUCUGUAACUAUUUUAAAGUCACCAUUGGCAUCAUGAUGAAAUCCCUGAGUGGUUUCCUUCUUCUCCGGCAACUGAGCUUGGAAAGAUGCCUGCAUCUUUGUAGUGACUGGGUGUAUUGAUUCACCAUGCUCAAAGGGAUAUUCAAUUUCAUUGAAAAAACCUUCCCUGGUCUUUGUGGUUGAAUCUGUGCUUGAAAUGUAUUACUCGAUUGAGGGAGUGGGGUACAGAGAUGGAGUAGUCGUUCAGAGAUGAUGUUAACCACUAUUAUUGAACAUGGAAUGAGUCCAUGCAACUUAUUAUGGGACUUGUUAAGCACAUUUUUACUCCAGUACUUAUUUCGGCUUGCCUUAAACAAAGGGGUUGAAUACUUAUUGACUCGAGACAUUUCAAGCUUUUUAAUUUUGUAAUUUCCAAAAAUGUCUAAACUAAAUUCCACAGUGACACAACAUGUCCUUAUUGAAUUAAGGCUGUAACACAAUAACAUGUGGAGAAAGUAAAGAGGUGAACAGCAUUUACACAGGUAUGAGUCUAAUACAGUAUGUAGUUUACACAGGUAUGAGUCUAAUACAGUAUGUAGUUUACACAGGUAUGAGUCUAAUACAGUAUGUAGUUUACACAGGUAUGAGUCUAAUACAGUAUGUAGUUUACACAGGUAUGAGUCUAAUACAGUAUGUAGUUUACACAGGUAUGAGUCUAAUACAGUAUGUAGUUUACACAGGUAUGAGUCUAAUACAGUAUGUAGUUUACACAGGUAUGAGUCUAAUACAGUAUGUAGUUUACACAGGUAUGAGUCUAAUACAGUAUGUAGUUUACACAGGUAUGAGUCUAAUACAGUAUGUAGUUUACACAGGUAUGAGUCUAAUACAGUAUGUAGUUUACACAGGUAUGAGUCUAAUACAGUAUGUAGUUUACACAGGUAUGAGUCUAAUACAGUAUGUAGUUUACACAGGUAUGAGUCUAAUACAGUAUGUAGUUUACACAGGUAUGAGUCUAAUACAGUAUGUAGUUUACACAGGUAUGUUAGUCUAAUACAGUAUGUAGUUUACACAGGUAUGAGUCUAAUACAGUAUGUAGUUUACACAGGUAUGACAGUCUAAUACAGUAUGUAGUUUACACAGGUAUGAGUCUAAUACAGUAUGUAGUUUACACAGGUAUGACAGUCUAAUACAGUAUGUAGUUUACACAGGUAUGACAGUCUAAUACAGUAUGUAGUUUACACAGGUAUGAUAGUCUAAUACAGUAUGUAGUUUACACAGGUAUGUUAGUCUAAUACAGUAUGUAGUUUACACAGGUAUGAGUCUAAUACAGUAUGUAGUUUACACAGGUAUGAGUAUAAUACAGUAUGUAGUUUACACAUGUAUGAUAGUCUAAUACAGUAGUGUAGUUUACACAGGUAUGAGUCUAAUACAGUAGUGUAGUUUACACAGGUAUGAUAGUCUAAUACAGUAUGUAGUUUACACAGGUAUGAGUCUAAUACAGUAUGUAGUUUACACAGGUAUGAGUCUAAUACAGUAUGUAGUUUACACAGGUAUGAGUCUAAUACAGCAUGUAGUUUACACAGGUAUGAUAGUCUAAUACAGUAUGUAGUUUACACAGGUAUGAGUCUAAUACAGUAGUGUAGUUUACACAGGUAUGAUAGUCUAAUACAGUAUGUAGUUUACACAGGUAUGAUAGUCUAAUACAGUAGUGUAGUUUACACAGGUAUGAUAGUAUAAUACAGUAGUGUAGUUUACACAGGUAUGAUAGUCUAAUACAGUAUGUAGUUUACACAGGUAUGAUAGUCUAAUACAGUAUGUAGUUUACACAGGUAUGAUAGUCUAAUACAGUAGUGUAGUUUACACAGGUAUGAUAGUCUAAUACAGUAUGUAGUUUACACAGGUAUGACAGUCUAAUACAGUAUGUAGUUUACACAGGUAUGAGUCUAAUACAGUAGUGUAGUUUACACAGGUAUGACAGUAAUACAGUAGUGUAGUUUACACAGGUAUGACAGUCUAAUACAGUAUGUAGUUUACACAGGUAUGACAGUCUAAUACAGUAUGUAGUUUACACAGGUAUGACAGUCUAAUACAGCAUGUAGUUUACACAGGUAUGACAGUCUAAUACAGUAUGUAGUUUACACAGGUAUGACAUUCUAAUACAGUAGUGUAGUUUACACAGGUAUGACAUUCUAAUACAGUAGUGUAGUUUACACAGGUAUGAUAGUCUAAUACAGUCUGUAGUUUACACAGGUAUGAGUCUAAUACAGUCUGUAGUUUACACAGGUAUGAGUCUAAUACAGUCUGUAGUUUACACAGGUAUGCGUCUAAUACAGUAUGUAGUUUACACAGGUAUGACAGUCUAA
This is a long non-coding RNA of Oncorhynchus keta (chum salmon), 5390 nucleotides long. RefSeq lists it as uncharacterized. The transcript is spliced from 10 exons. NCBI's taxonomy places the organism in Eukaryota, Metazoa, Chordata, Actinopteri, Salmoniformes, Salmonidae. The record is from RefSeq and is a predicted model, not a curated record.